This 497-nucleotide ribosomal RNA is filed under the name uncultured bacterium. RNAcentral's name for it is "partial 16S ribosomal RNA". It matches the Rfam family "Bacterial small subunit ribosomal RNA", at positions 28 to 507 of the family's 1533-position model. The record is from RNAcentral.
GAUGAACGCUGGCGGCGUGCCUAAUACAUGCAAGUCGAGCGAACGGACGAGAAGCUUGCUUUUCUGAUGUUAGCGGCGGACGGGUGAGUAACACGUGGAUAACCUACCUAUGAGACUGGGAUAACUUCGGGAAACCGGAGCUAAUACCGGAUAAUAUUUUGAACCGCAUGGUUCAAAAGUGAAAGACGGUCUUGCUGUCACUUAUAGAUGGAUCCGCGCUGCAUUAGCUAGUUGGUAAGGUAACGGCUUACCAAGGCAACGAUGCAUAGCCGACCUGAGAGGGUGAUCGGCCACACUGGAACUGAGACACGGUCCAGACUCCUACGGGAGGCAGCAGUAGGGAAUCUUCCGCAAUGGGCGAAAGCCUGACGGAGCAACGCCGCGUGAGUGAUGAAGGUCUUCGGAUCGUAAAACUCUGUUAUUAGGGAAGAACAUAUGUGUAAGUAACUGUGCACAUCUUGACGGUACCUAAUCAGAAAGCCACGGCUAACUACGUG